GAUGAACGCUGGCGGCGUGCCUAAUACAUGCAAGUCGAGCGAACGGACGAGAAGCUUGCUUCUCUGAUGUUAGCGGCGGACGGGUGAGUAACACGUGGAUAACCUACCUAUAAGACUGGGAUAACUUCGGGAAACCGGAGCUAAUACCGGAUAAUAUUUUGAACCGCAUGGUUCAAAAGUGAAAGACGGUCUUGCUGUCACUUAUAGAUGGAUCCGCGCUGCAUUAGCUAGUUGGUAAGGUAACGGCUUACCAAGGCAACGAUGCAUACCCGACCUGAGAGGGUGAUCGGCCACACUGGAACUGAGACACGGUCCAGACUCCUACGGGAGGCAGCAGUAGGGAAUCUUCCGCAAUGGGCGAAAGCCUGACGGAGCAACGCCGCGUGAGUGAUGAAGGUCUUCGGAUCGUAAAACUCUGUUAUUAGGGAAGAACAUAUGUGUAAGUAACUGUGCACAUCUUGACGGUACCUAAUCAGAAAGCCACGGCUAACUACGUG
RNAcentral lists this ribosomal RNA (497 nucleotides) under uncultured bacterium. RNAcentral describes it as "partial 16S ribosomal RNA". It matches the Rfam family "Bacterial small subunit ribosomal RNA", at positions 28 to 507 of the family's 1533-position model. The record is from RNAcentral.